AACGAACGCUGGCGGCGUGCUUAACACAUGCAAGUCGAACGUGAAGAGGACUUCGGUCCUCGGAAAGUGGCGCACGGGUGAGUAACACGUGGAUAAUCUACCCGAUGCUCCGGGAUAACAUCUCGAAGGGUGCUAAUACCGGAUAAGCCCACGGGAUCUUUGGAUCUUGCGGGAAAAGGUGGGGACCUUCGGGCCUACCGACAUCGGAUGAGUCCGCGGCCCAUUAGCUAGUUGGUGGGGUAAUGGCCCACCAAGGCAACGAUGGGUAGCUGGUCUGAGAGGAUGAUCAGCCACGCUGGAACUGAGACACGGUCCAGACUCCUACGGGAGGCAGCAGUGGGGAAUUUUGCGCAAUGGGCGAAAGCCUGACGCAGCAACGCCGCGUGAGUGAUGAAGGCCUUCGGGUCGUAAAGCUCUGUCAGAGGGGAAGAAACUCCUGGAGGCUAAUAUCCUUCAGGCCUGACGGUACCCUCAAAGGAAGCACCGGCUAACUCCGUGCCAGCAGCCGCGGUAAUACGGAGGGUGCAAGCGUUGUUCGGAAUUAUUGGGCGUAAAGCGCGUGUAGGCGGUCUGUUAAGUCUGGUGUGAAAACCCUGGGGCUCAACCCGGGGAAGUGCAUUGGAUACUGGCAGACUUGAGUACGGGAGAGGGAGGUGGAAUUCCGAGUGUAGGGGUGAAAUCCGUAGGAUAUCAGGGAA
This 698-nucleotide ribosomal RNA is filed under the name uncultured bacterium. RNAcentral's name for it is "bacterial SSU rRNA". It matches the Rfam family "Bacterial small subunit ribosomal RNA", at positions 28 to 704 of the family's 1533-position model. The record is from RNAcentral.